GGUGGAGCGAUUUGUCUGGUUAAUUCCGAUAACGAACGAGACUCUGGCCUAUUAAAUAGACGGUAUAUUUAAAAGUAUAUCGCGCUUCUUAGAGGGACAAGCGGCGUCUAGCCGCAUGAAAUAGAGCAAUAACAGGUCUGUGAUGCCCUUAGAUGUCCGGGGCUGCACGCGCGCUACACUGAAAGAAUCAGUGGGCGUUCGAACCUAGUUCGGAAGAACCGGGUAACCCAAGUAAAUUCUUUCGUGCUUGGGAUAGGGAAUUGUAAUUAUUUCCCUUAAACGAGGAAUUCCCAGUAAAUGCGGGUCAUAAGCUCGCGUUGAU
RNAcentral lists this ribosomal RNA (322 nucleotides) under Nematoda environmental sample. RNAcentral's name for it is "SSU rRNA". It matches the Rfam family "Eukaryotic small subunit ribosomal RNA", at positions 1300 to 1645 of the family's 1831-position model. Lineage: Eukaryota; Metazoa; Nematoda. The record is from RNAcentral.